This 871-nucleotide unclassified non-coding RNA is filed under the name Hevea brasiliensis (rubber tree). The record is from RNAcentral. Lineage: Eukaryota; Viridiplantae; Streptophyta; Magnoliopsida; Malpighiales; Euphorbiaceae.
CGAACAGAAAGGUCGACAUCGGACGUAAAUAUGAAUUUAGAGAAUAACUUUUGAACCUCCUCUCUACCAACAAUGCCAUCAUUAUUUUUCAAAGAUAAAGUAAAUGAAUCCUUGUGACGGGUUAAGAGUAAAAAUUCAAUUACAUCACUGACACGAUGUUGUUUAACGUUCUCAAUUUGAAUGGUGUACAAAUCCUGUGAAGAUAUCAUCAUAAAACACAAAGGGCAUUUCUUCUUGAAAUUAUUUUUAUGGUCAUCUUCUUCGGAGAUCAUAAAAUAUUGCAUAACACAGGGAAAACAGAAGAUAUGACCACACGAAGUUAUCUGAGGACAAAGAGGAUCCUCUAAGCAUAUGGGGCAUUGCACAUGAAAUGGAGUGGAAUAUCUCACACAAACAAUAUCCUCCCACUGUAACAUUUUGUCUGGAUCCAUCGAGUCAGGCGUGUAAUUGCCUGAAUCCAACAGAACAAACUUGUAAUUUGCUUGAAGAAACAAGUCUUUGUUGUAAGGCUUCCUCUUGACGUAUCUCCUAGGAGGAGGCAACCUAGAUUGUGGACGAGAAAUGGGAUCAUACUGAAAAUUGAGCAAGUGGUUUCCACUAACCAUCUGGGUUCUUCUUGAAGCUGAGCGGGUAACAACUCCUUGGGGACUGUUAAAGCCAAACUGGUCUCUUCCGCUGGAAGGAUCAUUGGUCCUAGCUGGUUUUCCUUGUCCGUGCAGUGAGAUUAUAUCACUGUUAUGAUGUCGUGAACUUUCUCGACUGCUACCGGAGUUGUUCACCUUUUUGGAGGAUCCACCAGAAGUAGAUGCAGCGGUAGCCAUGUUUCCUGAGAAGUUGUCGGGUUGCUGCUGCUGCUGUUGUUUGGAUUUGG